Molecule: transfer RNA, 66 nt
Filed under: Argas africolumbae
Lineage: Eukaryota; Metazoa; Arthropoda; Arachnida; Ixodida; Argasidae
Description: tRNA-Asp
Source: RNAcentral
UUAAAAACUAGUUAAUUUAUAAUAACAUAAGAAUGUCAUUCUUAAAUUACCUUUGGUGUUUUUAAA